CGAAUUGUAGUUUAGAGAAGCGUUUUCUGGGAUAGCUCGGGCAUAGGUCCUUUGGAACGAGGCGUCAUAGAGGGUGAGAACCCCGUCUGUGGUCCGAAGUCUAUUCCUUUGUGAUACGCUUUCAAAGAGUCGGGUUGUUUGGGAUUGCAGCCCAAAAUGGGUGGUAAAUACCAUCUAAAGCUAAAUAUUGGCGAGAGACCGAUAGCGAACAAGUACCGUGAGGGAAAGAUGAAAAGAACUUUGAAAAGAGAGUUAAACAGUACGUGAAAUUGCCAAAAGGGAAACGCUUGGAACCAGUGUUGCAAUCGGUAUUUGGUCGUUCCUAGAACGAUUUACUUGCCGUGCGCAGGUCAACAUCAGUUUGGCUUGGAGUAAAAAGCUGUUUGGGGGUCUCCGGAUCAACUUUCAGUCAUGCUCUGGGCUGGACUGAGGUCUGCUAACAGGAUGUUGACGAAAUGGUUUCAAACGACCCGUCUUGAAACACGGACCAAGGAGUCUAACAAAUAUGCAAGUAUUUGGGUG
This 522-nucleotide ribosomal RNA is filed under the name Nephrochytrium sp. JEL 327. Its description in RNAcentral is "eukaryotic LSU rRNA". It matches the Rfam family "Eukaryotic large subunit ribosomal RNA", at positions 139 to 700 of the family's 3401-position model. The record is from RNAcentral. Lineage: Eukaryota; Fungi; Chytridiomycota; Chytridiomycetes; Cladochytriales.